AAGGAGGAUGGAAAGCGAACGGGGGUUUUGUGGGUGGACUGAAGGGAGGGGGAAGAAUCUUGAUGCUUCAGUCCCCGCCUCCCCCUUCCUUUUCCCUCCGUCCUCCCAGCAGCCACCCUCCAAGGACGCCUGGCAUUCGCCUGGCAUUCGCAGGCCUGCCUGCCGAGCCUCCAACUGGGGAGGGGGCCCUGGGGGACCAUCGCUCUGUGGUCUGGGCGGAUCUGCUGGAGGGUUUGUUUCGGGGAAGUGCUCUGUGGUGGUGCUUCCCACAGGGUGUGGAGGUGCCAGGAUUGGUGCCAUGGCAGGGCCCAGCAUAGGGCUGGGAAUGGGGUGGUUGGCAUCGCCCUGCCCCUGCCAGGAAAUGCCUCCUUGCCCCUAAUGCUGUAGGCCUUGGUGCCCAUGCCCCUGCCCCAGGGCCGGACAGGGACAAGGACACUCAAACCACCUUUGGCUGAUCUGGCUGUGCCUUAUUCUCUGAACCCCAAGUCUCAGGACGGUGUCAAAUCCCCCUGCCCUGGAGUCUGAAGGGCAAGAUGGGGCAAAGAACCUUCAAGAGGGUUGUCCGAUUCCUCCAAAGUGUUGAUGUCUAGGCAAGGACUUCAGCUCUCCAGCAGUUGAAAGCAUGAGACAGGCUGUGCUCAGAGACAGGAGGUGGGGGACAGUGUGGACGCAGCACAGCCCACAGCCCAUCACCCUGGUCGCUGUCAGCCCCCUCCCUCCCUGGGAGUUUCGGCCGGCUCCCCCACGCAGCCUGCUCACCCUCGCUCACAAAGCUUGGUGCAGCUCCGCCACGACGGAUGGGGACAUGGGGAAAAAUAGGUCACCCUGAUCACCCCGCCCUCUCCCUCUGGCGGGGACCCCCAGCAGCGUCGUCAUGAAAUCUCUUCUCAACAGUCCUCUGGGAUGGCAGGAGCGACGCCACAAAGACGCCCCACUGACUCACACAGCCCCUUCCCUGGCCCCAGGCCCAUCCCCAGCAGGGGCCUGGCCCCCAGGAGGCCCAGUAAGCUGGCACCAAGAGGCAGUUUCUUUCCCAGGACUUGGUGUGGGGUGGGGGCAGGAGGAUGGGACAGAGAGAUGGCUCUGGGGUUCUGGGUCCGGUGCAUUCCCUUCUGCACCACGGAGAACAGGCUGGGCAGGGUCCCCUCAGCUGGAAGGUGGUUGGCGACCUCCCAGGACCACCUAGGCUGUGAAAUGAGCUCAGCUUCAGGAGUGUGUCCUGGAGGUUGGGUCCGUGAACAGUGACAGCCUGGAUGCCAGGCCUCUGUCGUAACCCAGGGGGGCGGGGGGAGCACAGGAGUCAAAAGGUGUCAGUCCCUGACUUCUGUGCCUGGCCAGGACAUUUGAGUUCUAGGCUUAGUUCCACUGGGUAGGACCUUAGGUAGGAGGACUCAAUGGACGUGGACGCAGACAAUUUUAAAUGAUCAGUGAGACUGGAGGGGACACUGCACAUGGAGCAGGCCUGAGGGGGAGGGGUCUUGGUAUCUUGGAUUCAGAGGAAGGUCCUGCUGGACUCCAGGCAGAAAAGGGCAUGGGUGGCUCACAAAUGGGGUCAGAGAAGCACUGAUGUCACUGUAGACAGCUUGUCACAGCUCCAGGGUCUGCUCAGCUGCCCUCAGUGUCCGUCCAGAGGAAGUGACCAGAUCUGCAGUUCUGGAACUUGCCUUUCUGACCUAAAGCCACACAGCUACCAGGGUAAGGGGUGAAGAUGCAGCAGGCCUUCUCAGAAGAGCUAUCCAAAAAAGGGCCAAGCCUAGACAGAGUUCCCACUGUGGCAUAGUUGGUUAAGGAUCUAACGUCAUCUCUGCAGCAGCUUGGGGUGCUGCCGAGGCACAGGUUUGAUCCCUGGCUGGGUGCAGUGGAUUCAGGGUCUGGCUUGAAUUUAAUCACUGGCUCAGGAAUUUCCAUUUGCCUUGGGCACAAAAAAAGGUGGGGGGGUGGGCCAAACCUGCUGGUCACCCAUGCCUGCCCAUUCUCCAGCCCUCUCAGGGGACCAGAGAACAUCUCCCCUCUUCUUGGCCAUUGCCCUGAAGCCUCUCCAUCUGCCUGGAGGACUCCAGGGUGAGGGCAGCAUCCCCCUCACAGAACCAAGCAGCCUCCCAAGGAGCAAAGCCCAGAAGAGACUAGAGAUGGAGGUGGGAUAAAUGGAGGGCAGCGAUCAAGGAAAGGCAGGGCAGAAACAGAAGCCAGCAGUGGGAACCUAAGCUUGUCAGGGGAAGGAUGCGCUGUAAGGCUCAGAGCGUGGUGAAGCUGUGCACCGGCUCUCUAUGGCAGUUACCUGCACCUGCUGGGGACACCAGGUGACUGAGGAGGUAGGGCUUAUUAUGUUGGAGACUGGAAGCCUGGAGCUCAGCACCGGGGCGUCCAUGGCCUGCACAACCACAGAACCACAGCACCAGUCUGUCCAGGAGUCAGGACAAGUGGAGUUCCUGACUCCGCUUCCAUGCCCAGUGCACUCCCCCACCCAGGGGCCGUCACAGCCCCUACUCCCACGGCCUUGAAGUAGAGGCAGCUCGGGAAUGGCACCGUUUGGGCUGCCUGCCUACGGGGAUCCCCAGUGUCCCCCACGGAUGGCGUUCACUGACACCGCAGAACCAUCCAUUCGUCUUUUCACCUUUCUCUGCAGGCAGGCUCCGGCCUUUCCCAAACGACCCUACAGCCUGGGCUUGCGCAGCUCUGAAGCCGGUGUGGAAAUACACGCCCUGUGUAAACCAUCAGCGGGGCCUUGCUUCUCUCCCUGAAAGCUCCAGCCUUGGCCUAGAAGCUUCAGCGGGACCGACGACUUGGGACACUCCCCGAGGUUUGGGGCCGGCCCAGGGAGCGCCGCCCUCCCGGUUAUCCGGCUCAGUGCCUCUUAGGCGGCCAGCGAAUUGCAAAGCUAGGGGACAGACUGGACGGCCCCCGGCAGAGCCGGAAGAAAAGGCCGGGCAAUUCUCUGGCCCUCUGGGAGCCAAGCGCGGAGGGCGCGAGGGUGGCUGACACCUCCAGGACGCGACCGGGGUCCAGACCGGGGAAAGGCGCUCUCGGCAAAGGGCGGCCCAGGGCUGGAGAGAAGCGCGGUGCGCCAGGCUCCUGGGCGCGCAACUGCCCGGCCUCGGAGGCAUCGUGCUGCAGAUGGGGCGCAGCUGCGCGCUCACUGGUCUGAACUGGAAACGCUCGGAGCUCGUUAUUUUAAAAGCCGGGCAUUCGGCGGCUUCCCCCUUUGACCAACAUUCCCCACGAAGCCGACUGCGCGGCCAGAGUCCCCAGGGCCGUCCCUCCCUAGCAGCCCAGCUCCGCCGGGGGGACGCAGGCCGCCCGCCCGCCCGCCGAGUUCCGGCCAGAGCACGGGGGACGCCGGCCGCGGCCGGGGUCUCUACCCGGGCUCGGCUCGCACCCGCCGCGCCUGCUUUUCGUUCGGUCUGUCCUCCGCUCAACUCAAUCGUUGGAUUGCCUUCUCCCACUCGUUCCCAUUUGGCUAUUUUCUGCUCGUUCAGGAGGUCCCUUUUUUCUUUCGUUUCGGCUGCUGCUUCCCUCUUCGUCCGUUUCUCCCCUCUCCAUUUACCCGCUUCGUUCGAUCCUCCGAUCCUCCGCUUGCCUUUUUCCCUCCCGUUCGUUCUUCAUUCCUUUCCGUUCUGCCCGGCACGCCGACGGCCUUUCACCUCUCCUUCUCGCCUCUCUUCUCUGUGGUUUUGUCCAAUUUCCUUUCCCUUCUUUUCGGUUGUUGUUUACAAACGCUUUGCUUUUCUUUCCACACAUUUCGUUGUUGACACCCUCGCCGUCGCCGGGUUCCUCCGCACCGCUCAUUGGACUCCAGCGCUCUGCGCGGUUGGCUCGGCAUCUGAGACUGUCGCGGUCCCGGCGCCCUGGCGGUCCGUGCAGGGUCCUUUGCGUCCAGCAGGGACGCGGACCCGCGGGGUGGGUCCUGUCUGACGCGGCGCGCGCGCGGAGGCAGCCCGGGUACCUGUCCCCGGCGGUGCUCACGGCGCUGCGCGGCCGCCGCCGUCUGGCUGGGAUCAGAGGAGCCAGGCCAACUGCUUCUCAUUAAGUCCCAACUGUGGUUUUUAUCAGGAGAGCCUCUUUCAAAUGGCACAGACACGAAGCUCCGUAGACUCGCUCAUUUCCUCCGCUGACCCCCACACACCUCCCUGGCCUCUCCUACACAUUCCCACCGCCCCGGCUGCGCGAAGGCGGGAGCUGCCUGGCCACUCCACGGAGGCCCGCGAGGCGCCUGCGGGGCGGCUCUCGGAGGAUCCAGCUCUGGGCCUAAGCUGCGGGAUGUGGCAGCAAAAACGAGGCUGGCGCCCACACUGCCGCAGCUCGGCCAGGGCAGUGGGCGGCGGCCGGGUGGCGGACCCGCGCGCCAGGCCCCGGCGUCCAGGCGCGUUCGUGGGAGACGGCGCGGUCCAACUGGCCUACGCGAGCCGUCGGCGCUCAGGGGGUUAGGCCCGCUCCCGGCGGCCCGCGGUGACAAUCCGGCGCGAGGAAGCCAGGACUGCGAGAAGGGCGGCCAUCGCCGUGCAUAACGACGGGGAGGCCAGUGUGACGUUGGCAGCUGCAGCUUCUUGGAAUAAUAUUAAUAACAGUGACUAGAAUUUACGGCGUGAUGACGACCUAGCAAACACUGUUUGAUGGGCCUCACGUGUAUUAACUCACUCAAUCCUCAUAAGAACUCUUUGCAACGUCAUGUGAGGCCCCUGAUGUACCAGGCUCUAUGCCCUGGAGGCGGGGAUACGAAGACAGAUGAGACGCAUUCCCUGCUUCUUGGAGUCAGUGAUGGAGACCCAGACACGUGCAGGUGCCUCAACACAGGUACCGUUCAAGGGGAGUAAUGGUUGCACAGAGGGAGGUGGGAUUACCUCCCCCCAGGACUGGGGAAAGCAGGGAAGGCUUCACGGAGGAGGAAGUUUUUCACUAGCAUUUUGAAGGGUGAGUUGAAGAGUUCAAAUGAAACAGGCAGGAAGAGGGAAUGACAGGUGGGUGUGGCGGGCACGGAGGGUGCAAAGUGGGGACUGCUGGGUGGAAGCAGGGCCAGGUUGAGAUGCCCUUGGAUGCCAGGCUGAGGAGCUGCUUCUGAGUCCAAGAGUAAAUGGAUGAAACUGGCUGGUGUCACUCGGAGGAGUGGCUCUUUGGCCGUGGCAGGAAUGGAGUUGAGGGGGCAGGGCUGGAAGGAGGCGAUGCACUGAGUGUUCCGAGCCACAGGCUGGAGGGAGGGGAGAGUCUGAGCGGGGCUGUGGGUCAGUGGAGAUGCAGAGGAGGGGUGGGUUUUGGAGGCGUUUUCAAGGAAGAACAGAAAUAAUAUGAGGGCUCAUUUGGUCCAGGAAGGGAGAGGAGGAGGGAAGCGGGGGAGGGGCAGCUGAUUGGGCAGCAGCACCCUGGGCGGUGAGAAAAGGCAGGAUUCCUGAAUUUGCUUUGUUUCUUUUCUUUUUCUUCUUCUUUUUUUUUUUUUUUUUUUUGCUUUUUAGGGCUGUACUCACGGC
This is a non-coding RNA of Sus scrofa (pig), 5459 nucleotides long. The record is from RefSeq and is a predicted model, not a curated record. Lineage: Eukaryota; Metazoa; Chordata; Mammalia; Artiodactyla; Suidae.